This 372-nucleotide unclassified non-coding RNA is filed under the name fungal sp. Its description in RNAcentral is "partial internal transcribed spacer region". The stretch from base 1 to 46 matches the Rfam family "Eukaryotic small subunit ribosomal RNA", at positions 1786 to 1831 of the family's 1831-position model. The record is from RNAcentral. Lineage: Eukaryota; Fungi.
AAGUCGUAACAAGGUUUCCGUAGGUGAACCUGCGGAAGGAUCAUUAACACGAUCCAACGUUAAACCCCCUGUGAACCUUCAUUGUACGAGUAACAUCCACGUCAUAAACCAGCAAUCAUCGCCGAACAGUUUUGAUUCAGAGACCUCUGGGAAGGGUGUACGGUAGUGCGAGGCAAUUGACCUGGCAUUCCUCUGCUUGUUAGUGUCACUAGCUAUGUACGGAUGGCGCAGAACAUAACGAUCGCUGGCCGGCGACCAGGUCACUGGUCUACGGCCCCCCUGAUCACAACCUUUGCAUGAAAACGGGCCUGCGCUGAGGUGCGGCCACCCCUAAUGCUUGAACAACUGUUAACAAUGGAUAUCUUGGUUCUC